GAUAGAAAUAGAGAGACAGAGAAUGGAGAAGGAGAGAGAGAUCAGGAGAUCAAAAACUGCAGUUUGAAAUCAAGAAUGAAAAUAUGUCUCUCACUUCCUGUCAGAUUUUCUGCCAUCACCGUAAACCUCCACUCCCUACCGGACCAUCAGAAUCGCUACUGGGGACAAGAACGGAGCACCCCAGAACUCUAUCAAAGCUUGAGGCAAAGAGCGUUUGGGAUUAGAGGAUGACUUCAUCAGUUUGAGAUACUAAAACUUAUGUUUGAUGACCCACUUCAGGUGUUGGAUGGAAGUGUGUUAUUUACACAAGGGAGAAAACAACUUGGAUCUUGGGUGCUCCUAUAACUCUUUGGUGUAAAUUUCUACACAAAUCUGCCAAUUAGUGUGCAUCCUCUAUUACUGGGUUUGGUGUACUAAACUUCGGCUGAAACAAAAAGACUUAGGCUAUGCAACACAUCAGAGGUUCACUAUUAUAUGCUUGAAAAGAAUUGAUGAUUAUUGAAUUUGUUUACCGUAAAAAAACCUUGGAAAGGCUUUUUGGUUUGGUAUAUGAGCAUUAUUUGGGGACAGCUAGAUUUGUUGGAUAUCGGUAAUGAUUGAUUGGAAGUGCUAACUUGGGGGAUGUGUAAAGCCUUGGAAUUUGCCAAGCAUUUGUCAAUAUGAGACCUAGAGGUGCAUCGCAUUCUUUUCAGGUGACACAACAUACUCAACUCAUGUACUUGGAGAGAAGGUGGAAGCAAAUGGGAUUGGGAAGAAGGAGGCCAAGGUGAACUGAGGUGAAAGGUGGCUUAUUAGAAAUAGGCUCCAGAGAUUAAGAACAAAUGUCCUAUCAAAUUAUCAUUUACAACAAACCCUUGAUGAAUAUCCUCCUCAAUGUACUGACUCGACUUUGAAGAUUAGUCCCAAAUAUUUAUACAACGAUAUUAUAACAAUUCAUUGGAUAUAUUUGCACUAUUUUCUAAAUGAUUUCCACUGUAAUAAAUUGUUAUUAUUGGUUUCUCUUAUUUCUAAGUAAGUUAUGAUGUCUGUUAGUUGAUGACAAGUACAUCAAGUUUAAAUUUUUAUGUCAAUCUUCUUGCUCAAAGUAAGUCAAGCUUUAAUUGCUUUGAAGAUAUUGGAUGGUUUUGAAAA
This is a long non-coding RNA of Quercus lobata, 1131 nucleotides long. RefSeq lists it as uncharacterized. The transcript has 8 exons. NCBI's taxonomy places the organism in Eukaryota, Viridiplantae, Streptophyta, Magnoliopsida, Fagales, Fagaceae. The record is from RefSeq and is a predicted model, not a curated record.